CUCACUUCCUGCCUGCCCAGCUGUGAAUCUGUGUGUUUCUCUCUCCCCAUUCCCUAUCCCCAGUUCUCACAGCUGGUGAACGGGGAUGUGGCUUUGCUGGGCGGGGGCCCCUACAUGCUCUGCACUGAUGGGCAGCAGCUAUUGCGACAGGUCCUGCACCCCGAGGCCUCCAGGAAGAACCUGGUGCUCCCCGACAUGUUCUUCUCCUUCUAUGACCUCCGAAGAGAAUUCCAUAUGCAGCAUCCAAGCACCUGCCCUGCCAGGGACCUCACUGUGGCCACCAUGGCACAGGAUUUAGGACUGGAGACAGAUGCCACAGAGGAUGACUUUGGGGUCUGGGAAGUCAAGACAAUGGUAGCUGUUAUCCUCCAUCUACUCAAAGAGCCCAGCAGUCAAUUGUUUUCGAAGCCCGAGGUGAUAAAGCAGAAAUACGAGACGGGGCCUUGGUGAGUGUGGGAGCAGGGGCUGGGGGUGACAACAGCUGAAUAGCUCUGACAGCACUGUGCCCUGCCCCUACAGCAGCAAGGCUGAUGUGGUGGACAGUGAGACUGUGGUACGGGCUCGUGGGUUGCCGUGGCAGUCAUCAGACCAGGACGUGGCUCGCUUCUUCAAAGGGCUCAACGUGGCCAGGUGGGUGUGGCAGGGUGGGUGGGCCCAAUUGGACAG
RNAcentral lists this small RNA (666 nucleotides) under Pan troglodytes (chimpanzee). RNAcentral's name for it is "retained intron". Lineage: Eukaryota; Metazoa; Chordata; Mammalia; Primates; Hominidae. The record is from RNAcentral.